Molecule: long non-coding RNA, 362 nt
Organism: Poecilia latipinna (sailfin molly)
Lineage: Eukaryota; Metazoa; Chordata; Actinopteri; Cyprinodontiformes; Poeciliidae
Exons: 2
Source: RefSeq, a predicted model, not a curated record
CCGAUGACCGAGGACACGGCGAUCACCACCUCCAUUCCGAUGUAGAGAGGCAGAGCCGAAGCCAUGGUCACAGAUGCCUGAUCGGAGAGCAGAAGAAGAAGAAGAAGAAGAAGAACUCUGACGCUCGGGGAUUAUUUAGGAUGUGAGUACAGGACGUGCAGUCUGGACGCGCGCCAGACGCAAAACUUCAUCAGUUUCCGAGAAAGAAGUGUCCUCCCCUCCACUGCACCCCGACGCACCGCAGUUCGGCAGGCUGAGGAGCGCGACGGAGUACCGGAGAAGAGAAUGAGUCAAGAACAGAUCCCCAAAGAGCGGAUUAUCUCCAGAGGGUCAAAACACACGGAAUCCACCCCCGAAGUCCG